GUAGGGUGCGAGCGUUGUCCGGAUUUAUUGGGCGUAAAGGGCUCGUAGGUGGUUGAUCGCGUCGGAAGUGUAAUCUUGGGGCUUAACCCUGAGCGUGCUUUCGAUACGGGUUGACUUGAGGAAGGUAGGGGAGAAUGGGAUUCCUGGUGGAGCGGUGGAAUGCGCAGAUAUCAGGAGGAACACCAGUGGCGAAGGCGGUUCUCUGGGCCUUUCCUGACGCUGAGGAGCGAAAGCGUGGGGAGCGAACAGGCUUAGAUACCCUGGUAGUCCACGCUGUAAACGGUGGGUACUAGGUGUGGGGUCCAUUCCACGGGUUCCGUGCCGUAGCUAACGCUUUAAGUACCCCGCCUGGGGAGUACGGCCGCAAGGCUAAAACUCAAAGGAAUUGACGGGGCCCCGCACAAGCGGCGGAGCAUGCGGAUUAAUUCGAUGCAACGCGUAGAACCUUACCUGGGUUUGACAUGGAUCGGGAGUGCUCAGAGAUGGGUGUGCCUCUUUUGGGGUCGGUUCACAGGUGGUGCAUGGCUGUCGUCAGCUCGUGUCGUGAGAUGUUGGGUUAAGUCCCGCAACGAGCGCAACCCUUGUUCACUGUUGCCAGCACGUUAUGGUGGGGACUCAGUGGAGACCGCCGGGGUCAACUCGGAGGAAGGUGGGGAUGACGUCAAGUCAUCAUGCCCCUUAUGUCCAGGGCUUCACGCAUGCUACAAUGGCUGGUACAGAGAGUGGCGAGCCUGUGAGGGUGAGCGAAUCUCGGAAAGCCGGUCUCAGUUCGGAUUGGGGUCUGCAACUCGACCUCAUGAAGUCGGAGUCGCUAGUAAUCGCAGAUCAGCAACGCUGCGGUGAAUACGUUCCCGGGGCUUGUACACACCGCCCGU
This 875-nucleotide ribosomal RNA is filed under the name uncultured bacterium. RNAcentral's name for it is "bacterial SSU rRNA". It matches the Rfam family "Bacterial small subunit ribosomal RNA", at positions 527 to 1397 of the family's 1533-position model. The record is from RNAcentral.